This 251-nucleotide ribosomal RNA is filed under the name uncultured bacterium. Its description in RNAcentral is "partial 16S ribosomal RNA". It matches the Rfam family "Bacterial small subunit ribosomal RNA", at positions 101 to 339 of the family's 1533-position model. The record is from RNAcentral.
AACGGGUGAGUAACACGUGGGCGACCUACCUCAGAGUGGGGGAUAACCUUCCGAAAGGAGGGCUAAUACCGCAUGACAUCCCGUGUUUGGAUACACGGAGAUCAAAGCCGGGGAUCGCAAGACCUGGCGCUUGGAGAGGGGCCCGCGUCCGAUUAGCUAGUUGGUGAGGUAACGGCUCACCAAGGCUCCGAUCGGUAUCCGGCCUGAGAGGGCGGACGGACACACUGGAACUGAGACACGGUCCAGACUCC